CGAAGUAUAGCUUAAAAAAAGCACCUUGUUUACACCAAGAAAAUGUCUAUUUAACCUGGACUUCUUCGAG
Molecule: transfer RNA, 70 nt
Filed under: Strabomantis sulcatus (Nauta robber frog)
Lineage: Eukaryota; Metazoa; Chordata; Amphibia; Anura; Strabomantidae
Description: tRNA-Val
Source: RNAcentral